Molecule: ribosomal RNA, 468 nt
Filed under: uncultured bacterium
Lineage: Bacteria
Description: partial 16S ribosomal RNA
Rfam family: Bacterial small subunit ribosomal RNA
Source: RNAcentral
GACGAACGCUGGCGGCGUGCUUAACACAUGCAAGUCGAACGGAAAGGCCCUGCUUUUGUGGGGUGCUCGAGUGGCGAACGGGUGAGUAACACGUGAGUAACCUGCCCUUGACUUUGGGAUAACUUCAGGAAACUGGGGCUAAUACCGGAUAGGAGCUCCUGCUGCAUGGUGGGGGUUGGAAAGUUUCGGCGGUUGGGGAUGGACUCGCGGCUUAUCAGCCUGUUGGUGGGGUAGUGGCUUACCAAGGCUUUGACGGGUAGCCGGCCUGAGAGGGUGACCGGCCACAUUGGGACUGAGAUACGGCCCAGACUCCCACGGGAGGCAGCAGUGGGGAAUAUUGCACAAUGGGCGGAAGCCUGAUGCAGCAACGCCGCGUGCGGGAUGACGGCCUUCGGGUUGUAAACCGCUUUCGCCUGUGACGAAGCGUGAGUGACGGUAAUGGGUAAAGAAGCACCGGCUAACUACGUG